CCAAGACCGUGGGAUACUGCCUUGAUAGUUCUCUGAAGCAGAUUUAGAAGUUAUCCUCAGUUCCAAUUUCUGACAUGAACUAUGAAGAAAGCUGUAUCUGCUCAAGAUCCCAUGCCGCAGAUUUAUGUAGCUGAAACUGCUGAAAACUCACUGCUAAAACAAAGAGGGGAAAAGGCUGAUUUCCAGAUUUUUAUAAGAUAAACAUCAAACAAAUUCCCAAGCGAAUGGAUUGCAAUGCCUCUAAAAACACGUGGAAACAAGGAUUACUUCUGUUCAGGAACAAGACAAGUGAAGGACAUUUUGCAGGAGCCAAAUUCCAGACAACUGGUAAACUCUGUAGCAACAGCAAAAAAAAACUCCAGCUUUCCAUAUAGCUUCCAGCUACCUCUGGUACAGGAGACAGUGAAGGCUGUGUGGUGAUGUGGGCUUGAAACCCAGCAAGUCCUAGGGUAUAUUCUUACUUCUGCUACAGGCUUGCUUUGCAACCAUUCAUUAGUUUCUGGAGAGGAACGGAAGAGUUUGAUCUUACUUAAAAUAAAUUCCACAGCAUAUCACCUUAGGCAAGCUUCUGUAUAAAGAUAAUAAUGUUUACUCCUUAACUUUACAAGGGUACUGGGGCUGUUAUUACAGCUGUAGCACUUUGACCGUGGAAAUGCUACGUUGUCAUAAUUUUCUGUCCUUCACUCCGUUGUGUCUAAAGGAGGACUUUGAGAUUUAUUGUUCUCAGCCAUCCCUCAUUCCUGGUGCUGAAGACAUCAAGAAAUGGUGGUUGAACUAGGUGAUCUUAGUGAUAUUUUCCAAUCUUAAUGAUUCUGUGAUUCUGCACUUCUGUGAAAUCAUGCUCACCUGUUCCAAAAGUUUGUGGGUGAAUAUUAAACAAAGUUCAGGCUUUGACUCCCCUUUGGUCCAUGUUACUGCAAUGCUAGAAGAAAAGGUAACCAGGUGAGAGGCUGUGGCUCAAGGAUGCAUAAUCCAUUGCCUUUCUCUGGGUAUCAGUGACACUCACAGAAUCACAUUCUUGGAAAAGCUGCUCCUCUGAGACUGUUGAUUUUCUCCAUUUCAGGAUCAGUAUUAUCAAACAAACUUGUUAUUUCUUCCUUCGGGGACAGAUUUCUACUGCAAAUAAGUAUGGCUCAUAUUCUGUCAUCUUUAGAAUUGUAACCCACAUUUUAUUGCUUGACAUGAAAAUGCUAUUUUCAACACUUCUAUCUUAACUAAGUCAGAGCCUGCAUUUACUUUGUGACUACAAACUUGGAUGCAAGUACAGAACUCCUAUACAGUCCCUUUGUAUACUUCCAGAAAUUCUGAUAGAUAAAACAGUCCUCCAGUUAAAAGAUAGCUUAAGAAUUCUGUGGGUUUUUUUUUAAUGCUUCAACUCUUACUUGCUAUUUGAAACCCUCAAGAGUCUCAGAUGAAAUUCUGGCCUGAGCAGAGGUCCCAUUGCCUUGCUUUGUCACACUGGAGCACUGAAUUGUCAUCAUUUUUUAAUUAUUAUUAUUUUUUAAGAAAGGAGAGAAAAGCAGUGGAGCAUUCUGCUUCCCAGUUGUUAAAUACAUAAAUGAGACGGUCAGCCACGAGGGAUUGGGACAGGAGGGGGGCUGGAAGAGAAAUCUCAGUGGAAAUUCAGUAAUCACAUUUCUCUUUUAAAAUAGCUUCGCAAUAGUUUCAAAAGACGUUAUUUAUAGAGCACCACAUGUAAUAGGAGUUUAGCAAGCAAGGCAGACGGAAGGCUUCAGUCCCAAAGCAUGGCUCAGUAUUCAGUGAGAGAACUACUGAAGACUGCCUGCAGCGUUUUAGCAUCCCUGAACUCCCACACUUGCCUGCACGUUCUUACCCUCUCAUCACCUCUGUGUUGGCAGAUCCGACCGAAAAACUAACCCCGGUGGUAUGUUUUGGUGAGAUAAGUUCCUCGGUCUGAUUCAUCACCCAGAGGCACAAGGGCAG
Molecule: long non-coding RNA, 1944 nt
Filed under: Gallus gallus (chicken)
Lineage: Eukaryota; Metazoa; Chordata; Aves; Galliformes; Phasianidae
Description: lncRNA (ENSGALG00010009401.1)
Source: RNAcentral